CCUACGGGAGGCAGCAGUGAGGAAUAUUGGUCAAUGGGCGCGAGCCUGAACCAGCCAAGUCGCGUGAGGGAUGAAGGAUCUAUGGUUCGUAAACCUCUUUUAUAAGGGAAUAAAGUGCGGGACGCGUCCCGCUUCGCAUGUACCUUAUGAAUAAGGAUCGGCUAACUCCGUGCCAGCAGCCGCGGUAAUACGGAGGAUCCGAGCGUUAUCCGGAUUUAUUGGGUUUAAAGGGUGCGUAGGUGGCCUUUUAAGUCAGCGGUGAAAGUCUGUGGCUCAACCAUAGAAUUGCCGUUGAAACUGGCGUGCUUGAGUGGGCGAGAAGGAAGCGGAAUGCGUGGUGUAGCGGUGAAAUGCAUAGAUAUCACGCAGAACUCCGAUUGCGAAGGCAGCAUACCGGCGCCCAACUGACGCUGAAGCACGAAAGCGUGGGUAUCGAACAGGAUUAGAUACCCGUGUAGUC
This 460-nucleotide ribosomal RNA is filed under the name uncultured bacterium. RNAcentral describes it as "partial 16S ribosomal RNA". It matches the Rfam family "Bacterial small subunit ribosomal RNA", at positions 338 to 795 of the family's 1533-position model. The record is from RNAcentral.